AAAAAAAAAAGAACUAACUGAUCUGGAGGAUUUGACAUCCAUCCUGGACUAAUCUUUCCCAAUCUAACAGAAUUUGCCAUCCAAUGAGCACUCAAAUUAGCAUUUCUAGAUACAUUUUUAAUAGAGAUUAAAGGAUAGACUGCUAAAAACAUCCGACAAUCCUUCAUGAUAGCCUCAAGAUCCCAAGGACAAGAAAGGGAGGAGGAGAACAACAACUGAAACAGCUGAAGAGCAUCACUAUUAAUCACACAUGGCAUGAACCCUCUUCUGGAAGCUAAAAGAAUUGCUUCCCUCAAAGCCAUCCCUUCCGUAGUAGCUGGUGACAAGGCAACAAAAGCAGAUGCACAACCAUCAACCAAAAAACCACUCCUAUUCCUAACAAGGAUUCCAUAGCCAGCGCUACCCAUGUUCUGCUCAAAGGAAGCAUCCACCGAAAUAAUAGUCCUCUUGAAUAGAGGGAAACCUUGUCAACACAUUUCGAUCUGAAUCCAACGAAGAUGGAAUUUGUGGAGGGGUUUUGAGCUGUCCCUCCUCAAAGUCUUCAUGGACCCUUUUAAUUGCCUUCUAUGGAUCUGGCUGAACUCCAUCAAAGAUAGCUGCAUUACGAGUUUUCCAUCUAUGCCAACAAAGAUAACAAGCCAUCUUACAAAUACAUUGAAAAUAUUAGAAAAAAAAUUUCAAACAUAACAAGUAAAAUCUUAUAAUAGAAGUUUUUUUUUACUUUCAAAUAUAUUUGGUGUGGUGAGCAACUAUGGUGAAUAGUCUCAUAAUAACUGUAGAAAGAAUAAAUAUAAAAAUAAAUAAAAUAAUUAUGGUGAAUAGUCUCAUACUUUCUUCUGCUGCUCAGGACUAGAAUAGGGAGAUCUUUGGGAGCAUUCGUAAACAAAAAGUCAGAUUACUGAGACGCAUUGCAGGAGCCGAAAGGGCUUUGGAGAAGCAUCCUAAUUCUCAGUACUUGUUGGAUGUUGAAACUUCUCUUAAGCUUGAGUUGGAAACAGUAUUGAUUCAAGAGGAGUUAUUUUGGUUUCAGAAUUCUAUUGCUGAUUAAAAUAAUAAUGAGGACAAAAACACAAAAUAUUUUCAUUCCAAGGCAAUAAACAGGCAGAGGAGAUAUAAAAUUGAGACCUUGCAAAAAGAGGCAGGUAACUAGUGUGCUUCAGCUGAUCAACCUAAACGUCUGGCAGUCUGAUGCAAACUAAAACAGAAUUGA
This 1210-nucleotide unclassified non-coding RNA is filed under the name Hevea brasiliensis (rubber tree). Lineage: Eukaryota; Viridiplantae; Streptophyta; Magnoliopsida; Malpighiales; Euphorbiaceae. The record is from RNAcentral.